Sturnus vulgaris (Common starling) is the source of this 1365-nucleotide non-coding RNA. The record is from RefSeq and is a predicted model, not a curated record. NCBI's taxonomy places the organism in Eukaryota, Metazoa, Chordata, Aves, Passeriformes, Sturnidae.
GCUUGAAACAUGCACUUGAAAUAUGCUCAAACAGAACUGUUUCCUACUUUGUAUCUGUAGAUGUCCUAUUGCUGAAGGAAUGUGUGAUGGUAAUACUUGUGUGUUUGCUAAUAUAACUGUUUUCCUACUGAUCCUGAUUAACUGCAGGGCUGGAGUGCCAUUCCAAACCUCAUCUCUGCUGGUGAAGUUCCAGACAGUCUGAACUGGUGGAAUUAAUCCCAGCUGCCUAGCGACAGACUGAAGUGGUGAACUUUGUCUGCAGCUGCCUCUUCUGCAGUGGUGCUGAGCAUCUUCUGCUGGACUAGUUCACUUUAAGAAACAAAAAAAACAUAACCCUUGUCUCUUUUCAGUCCCAAAUGCCCUCUUUGCCUCUGCUCUAACAGUGAUGUCCUCCUUGGUCUUGUGAUACUUUUUCCUCCUAAGUUCAUGUAUGCUCCCUUGGUAUCAGCUUCCCAAUGGAAAACUAUAUCAGCUCCCAGGCUGCUGAAAUCUGCUUUCAUCACUUUUUCCUUAGCUCUGUAUCUCCUCUUUGAUCUUCAAGUCCUGGCUGUCCAAACUUCCCCGCAAUGUCUGUUUUUUACUUUUCCCAUGUACUGAUGAAGCAAAGCUGUGCUGCUGCAGCUGGACUCUGCAGUGUUCUGUUUGCGUCAGGCCUUUCUUCUGACCAACUUUGCAUUUUAAAUGUGCCCCUGGACUCUUCCAGCUGUGUCCAUGCCAUUCUGGGACAAUAUAUCAGUCAGCCCUUUCGCAAGUGACUCCAUGGAUGGAUUGAGAAACUCUUUCUACUGUAGCAGUUGCAAUUGUAAAAAAAUUUAAUCUUAUUUCUGAUCAAUACUUUAUCUUCUGUCAUGACGUCAUUUAAUUCUUCCUUUCAGGCUCUAUUUCUGUAACUGUUUUAUUCUUCAGCACUUUUGAAUACUCUUUUAUACUAUGCACAAUGUACUGCAAUUCUUAGCAACUGUAAGGGGCAGAAGGACCAGGGACUUUUUCCAGUAUGAUGCUUUCACCUGUUUUUGAUUCACAGCGAUCUGGAAUUGGAGGACCUGAGUUUUUAUUGUUACAGAAGUCAGUUUAUGUUAAAAAGAGCAACAUUCUAAUACUGUUCUGUAAUUUGCACUGGAAUAUCUCUCCAGCUCUCAUUUAGAUCUCGCAAUACAUCUCAGAACCUAUAUACAUUUAUGCCUUAUCCCAUUUUCAUGGUUUAUGUGUCCUGCAUCCUGCUGGAGCACUUGUGGAGCUUUUGACUGGGCUUUGUAAUUCAUCAUGAAGGGUUGAGCUACACCAGAUUGUAUCAGACAAAUACUGUUAAAGUUUGAUAUUCCAGUUGAUAGCCUUCCUUCUGCUGCCAACAGCUUCUCAUCCACC